This 108-nucleotide small nuclear RNA is filed under the name Aotus nancymaae (Ma's night monkey). Lineage: Eukaryota; Metazoa; Chordata; Mammalia; Primates; Aotidae. The record is from RNAcentral.
GUGCUCGCUUUGGCAGCACAUGUACUAAAACUAUGAACAAUACAGAGAAGAUUAGCAUGGCUCCUGUGCAAGGAUGACAUGCAAAUUCGUGAAGCAUUCCGUAUUAAA